Brassica napus (rape) is the source of this 1813-nucleotide long non-coding RNA. RefSeq lists it as uncharacterized. The transcript has 6 exons. NCBI's taxonomy places the organism in Eukaryota, Viridiplantae, Streptophyta, Magnoliopsida, Brassicales, Brassicaceae. The record is from RefSeq and is a predicted model, not a curated record.
AUGUUUUACGCUACGUCUAUUAUUGAAACCCAAAUUCUCUCCACUUUGUCGUAUCACCUUCAUCAGUCAAUGCUAUUUUUGGCUUUGAUUAGGUUCACCUCCGUAUUCCUUCCCUCUCUCUAAUCUUCUCCAAUAAAAAUCCAUGGAACUCUUCAGCUCCCCCUCUCUUCUCAUUCUAUCGAUAUCUCUGUAAAUAAUUGAUGCCAGGAUCGGGAAUCAAACAUCGCUUACUCGCUUAUUGUGUCUCUCAACCGGCUAAUCUUUAAUUCCACUGUUGAAAAUGUCUGCUUCCGAUGCUAUUUCUGUCCAGACAGAUGUUACCAAGGCCAACUUUGACGAUCUCCACGCUCUUGCAAAUACGAACUUAUAACUCCCCGAUGUUGAACAAAUAUGUUUCAUGUAAGGCUAUGACCUCAACUAGGCGGCAGCAACGAAUCGUUUGUCGUCCGUUUUUUCAUUGAGCUUUUGGUCAUGCUGUAUUUGUCUUUGUGGGAUGGCGCAGCCACAAGUUUUGGGGGAAUUUGUGCUCAGGCUAUACUACCCACUCUGUCAUGGUGGUCAUCACGGUGAAUCCUAAAAUUUUUGGAGGUAUUGGUAGGACAGAAGAGGUCCUCCCACGUGUUGAGAUCUUCACAGUGCCUCUCCAAAGUCCAACGACUAGGCUAGAUCGUCGGUGUCCUCCAGCAAAAUGGUUGGUCGACAGAAGAGGUCUUCUGUCGCUUGCACUGGUUGCAGAAGGAGAUUGGACAAAUCCAAGACUUCACUACAGUGCAAUAGAUGUGUUUCACCAAACGUCACUGGAGUCAUCAGGUUCCAUGUCGAGUAGCCUUUAGAUGAUGGCUACGAAAAUGCUGUAUUUGUGGUGUCUGACACGGAGAUGACCAAACAGACCAAGAAAAAUGCAGCCACAAUGGCUCUUGAGGAGGUUAGUUUCCACCCCAGCACUCCAUUCAUCUUAUAUUUUUAAAAUGGUCAAGGUUGCUCUCAUUGACUCACUAAACUUAAACCUAUUUUAAUUUUACUCCCAACCACUGAACCUUCACCGUCUCUUCAAUCACUGAAGAUGUGGCUCUCAACACACAUUCAGAGGUUGCAAGCAGCAGCAAAGCACCACAGGUGUACGACUAAUCGGAACAACCACCAGCAUCUGGCAACUUCACAUGUGAUGCAUACACGAAAGAAAUGGACGGUGAGGCAGCAAAACCAACCAAGCUUUGGAGACGAUGAGAACACCCGCAAGCGCCUGUGAGUAAUAUUUUCAAGUCCAACAAUGUCAUUCCCACUUAACUUCUGUACCUUAAAUAACUAUUUUCCAUGUUUUUUAUUUUUCCAGCUUUGUUUUUUUUUUGAAUUAUCUUCUGCUUAACUGUUACUUGGUUUUAAAAUAAAGUUUUUUUAAUAAAGGGAACGUUGACGGGAAUUUGCAUAUUGGGAAAAAGGCUUUGUUUCACUUUGUGCAUGAAUACAUAUUCAGAUAGUAAAACAGCCAUCAACCUCAAUAUGAUAAGAAUCUGAUGCCGUCUUAUUUUUAAAAGGACCACCACAAUUUGACUAACAUAUUCGAGAGGUUUGAUGGCGAGGUAUUCGGAGUACAACAACACACAAGCCCACUUCAUCAAAGAGUUGAAUACUUACAUGCUAAAAAAAUAAAAAUCUUGGUUUCUAUCACUUCUCAAGAAAACAACCCAAAAUAUGUGCUCAUCCUCUUAGUAAAUCUAUUUCUGAAUCUGAAGUUUGGUAAUGUAUUUAAACUAUCUCCUACUCGGUGAAUAGUUACUUUUAUUUUAAAUAAAGAGGAACGUUGACGUGUCUU